This 120-nucleotide ribosomal RNA is filed under the name Diaphorina citri (Asian citrus psyllid). The record is from RNAcentral. Lineage: Eukaryota; Metazoa; Arthropoda; Insecta; Hemiptera; Psyllidae.
GACAGCGGUGAUAGAACGUUGAACGCUCCAGUUCCCAGUAGUUCACUGAAGUUAAGCAACGUUUCGCGUGGUUGGUAUCCGGAUGGUUGACCAUCUGGGUAAUAGUGUACUGGCCUUUCU